RNAcentral lists this ribosomal RNA (253 nucleotides) under uncultured bacterium. Its description in RNAcentral is "partial 16S ribosomal RNA". It matches the Rfam family "Bacterial small subunit ribosomal RNA", at positions 524 to 776 of the family's 1533-position model. The record is from RNAcentral.
UACGAAGGGUGCAAGCGUUACUCGGAAUUACUGGGCGUAAAGCGUGCGUAGGCGGUUUGUUAAGUCUGCCGUGAAAGCCCCGGGCUCAACCUGGGAAUUGCGGUGGAUACUGGCAGGCUAGAGUGCGGUAGAGGGUGGUGGAAUUCCCGGUGUAGCAGUGAAAUGCGUAGAGAUCGGGAGGAACAUCUAUGGCGAAGGCAGCCACCUGGACCAGCACUGACGCUGAGGCACGAAAGCGUGGGGAGCAAACAGG